AAUCAUCGUAACUCUAGUUCUUACUUUCCAAAAUGCUUUAACUUGUACAAUUGAUCUCAAAACACUUCAAUCAUUCCAACUCCCAAACCACAAUAUUUAUUCUUAAAUUGUAGUGUAUAUAUAUAUAUAUAUAUGCAUAAUUGACUUAAAUUCAAGUUAUAUUUCCCCCUUAAACGGGGAUUCCAGAUUCAGCUGAAGCUAUAUAUCUGAUUUUCAAAGCUUUCAGGAUCAUUUCAAGAUGGACUCCUUUUCAUAGGGAAAGUGAAAAAAACAUGUCAAUCCGGAUGGUACUAUAAUAUGCCUAUGUUCGAAGUGUGUGAAUAGGGAGUCUCAUAAUGUCAAGGAUAUUCGAUUUCACAUACUUAGAUUUGGGUUUAAGUCGGGUUGUAGAAGAUAGAUACAUCAUGGGGAAGAUGGAGAAAACUAGGAUGAAGAGGACGGCAUCUCCACUUCCGAUGACGAAAUUGAUGAAAUGAGAAACAUUCUUGUAGACGAACAAGAGAGAACUUACUAUAAUAUUGGAACGACUGAUGAUUUGGAGGGUUUGCCUAUUCUUGAAAGUGUUCAACACAGAGUAGAUAACUAGGUGGAAGAGUUAGAAUAAGAGUUGUAUAUCUGAAUGUAAGCAAAAUUCUGCGCUUAAUUUUAUUGUAAAGAUGAUGAACAUCAAAGUGUUGAACAACUUGUCCACAAAGCUUUUAUGAUGCUAUUGGAGUUAUGUCGCAAUGUAUUGCCUGAAGGAAAUAAGUGCCCUGCAUCGUUCCAUGAAACAAAGUUGUUAAGAA
Gossypium arboreum is the source of this 785-nucleotide long non-coding RNA. RefSeq lists it as uncharacterized. The transcript is spliced from 2 exons. NCBI's taxonomy places the organism in Eukaryota, Viridiplantae, Streptophyta, Magnoliopsida, Malvales, Malvaceae. The record is from RefSeq and is a predicted model, not a curated record.